AUGUCUGUAUGUGGGAUGACGGGACCAGGGCUUGGUUUGUCUGUGUUCCUGUUGGCUCUGCUUCAUCUUCAAUGCUCAGCCCAGAACAACUACACUACGCUCCCAAAUAACAUAUCAGUGGCUGUUGGCAAGCCUGCUGCAUUCCAGUGUGGUGUGUCCCCUCCUAGACAACUCAACUUCACUCUCUAUGGUAGCCAUAGAAACAUAACCCUCAUCUGCCCAGGAGACCACACUGAGUACCUGGCUGCCCAGUCAAUAAAAGGGUACUGUGAUAACACAGGUAAGGAGCUCUUUGCAAUAUGGCUUAUCAGCGGGACGUCCCGCUCUGACAACAACACACGUGUAGUAUGUGAGAGCUCAGGACGACCACUAGUGGAUGGAUACCUCUGGGUGUACGGUAAAUACAUCUCUCUAAUAUACCUUCCCUGAGCAUAUGGUAUUUGACGUUGUCAUCAUUAGCUAACCCUAAUCUAUCUGUCUGUCUGUCUGUCUGUCUGUCUGUCCUGUCUAUCCUGUUUGUCUGUCUGUCUGUCCUCUUCGGAUACAUUUUCAGAGGACGGCAGUUACUUUGCCACCCUCAUUGGCUGUGUCAUUGGUGGUUUCUUUGGUAUCCUCAUCAUCUUUGGUCUGUCAUACACUAUGCUCAGGAGAUCUGAGAGGCUCCAGCUCUGUUUCAGUAAGUACCUCUCUCCUUCAGCCCUAACAGAGGAUGGACCAGAGAAUGAUGCCCCGCGACGUUCAUAUGGUUCUCUUCUCUUUUCUGUGUUUGUGUCAACAGGGGGAAAAGAUCGUGAGAAUGACGUCACCACAAUGGUGACAAAGGAUUAAACACACACCUUUCAAUACUGUUGGAUUCACUUAUUCAACUUCUUAAGGUGACACUUUGUGGGGGGUUUUUGCAUAUGCAGAAUUUGUAUUGUAAUUUCUAUUUUGUUUUACUGUUCUAUUAUUUGCUUAUCUAGCAGUAUGCAGUAUCUGAUACUUGCAUCAGUUUCCUGUGUUUUUUAUCUUAUUAAAUGUAGCUAAACAUAGGAAGUUAAACUAAAUGUUGCAUUUUGAAAACUUCUUACCAAAGUCCCAUAUAUCAUAUUCUCUCCCAUAAGCUUUUAGAUUUUUUUUGCCUUGGUUUGUUCAGUCACAGUUCUACUAUUUGUCCAACAGAGAGCAGCCAUGACAGUACAGAAACUGAACUUCAAUGAUGCUGGGAUACUACUAAAGCAUUUGAUCAUGUACUAUAAUUGUGCGUCUCUGACUUUUCCUCUACUCUGGAAUACUGAAGUUAAUGUUCCAUUUUUAUACUGUGUUUUAUAGCUCCAUUAAUUGUUUUACAGUUAUGCUGGCAGCCAGCUAACACCUGUUUUCACUGCAUAAACAAUAGAGAGCAGGACAUCUGAGUAGCUGUCUAAAGUGUUCCAGUGGAGGAUCAGUAGAGGUGGUGCGAUGUUGACUCAGCUGGCCUGCUAUGCUCUGGUAUGACUCUGACACAGACACAACUCACAGCACUUCAAAUCCCACAAUAUGCAUUGGUCAUUUGUUUAGAAUUACAUACAUUCUUUGAGAUGUAUUUAUAUUUUUUAUGCAUGCUCCCCAUCUUCAGAGUGGCUUGUCAGAGGAUAUGGUCAAAUGCACAAAGACCCUUAGAUGGUUUGUUUAGUGACAAAUAUGCCUUCUAACAAGUAAGAGUAGUGUACGUUUUGAUGUUCCAGCACGAGCGUGCUUGUGUCAGUGCAUGCAGGCGUGCUUACAUACCACUCUUUUAUUUAAGUCUAAGCUAUGCACCGGAGUUGUGUCAGUGAUGAUGCAUUCAUAUAUUAUGUUCCAAAUGUAUUGGGGCAGUGAAACUUUUUGUUGUUUUGGCUCUGUACUCCAGCACUUUGGAUUUGAAAUGAUUCAAUGACUAUGAUGUUAAAGUGCUGACUGUCAGCUUUAAUUUGAGGUUAUUUUCAUCCAUAUCAGGUGAACCGUUUAGAAAUGACAGCACUUUUUGUACAUAGCCCCCCCCCCCCAUUUGGACAAAUGCACUUAUAUGUGUGUUAAAGUAGUAGAAAGUUUAGUAUUUGGUCCCAUAUUCAUAGCACACAAUGACUACAUCAAGCUUGUGAUUCUACAAAUUUGUUGAAUGCAUUUGUUGUUUGUUUUGGUUGUGUUUCAGAUUAUGUUGUGCCCAAUAUAAAUGAAUGGUAAAUCAUGUAUUGUGUCAUUUUGGAGUCACUUUAAUUGUAAAUAAGAAUAAAAUAUGUUUUUAAAAAUUUCUGCAUUAAUGUGGAUGCUACCAUGAUUACAGAUAAUCCUGAAUGAAUCGUGAAUAAUGAUGAAUGAGAAAGUUACAGACACAAUCCAUUACUUACCAUUCUUAUGUAUUGGGCACAAAAUAAUCUGAAACACAACCAAAACAAACAGCAAAUGCAUUCAACAAAUUUGUAGAGUCACAAGAUUGAUGUGGUCAUUGCGUGCUAUGAAUAUGGGACCAAAUACUUAACUUUUUACUACUUUAAUACACAUACAAGUAAAUAUGUCCUAAUACUUUUGGUGCCUUAAAAUGGGGGAACUAUGUACAAAAAGUGCUGUAAUUUCUAAAUGGUUCACCCGAUAUGGAUAAAAAUAUCCUCAAAUUAAAUAUGACAGUCUGCACUUCAACCUCACAGACAUGAUAUAAUUUCAAAUCCAAAGUGCUGGAGUACAGAGCCAAAACAACAAAAAUUGUGUCACUGUCUCAAUACUAUUUUAAAGAGUUGUUGCAAAGAAGAGAGCAGGGUUUUUGUGGAGGGAAUUUCUUAUGUUUGUGUUGUACCUGUGUGUCAGCUUUACCCUUUGGAUAGCCCAUCCUGACUGUCUCUUGUGUGAGCCUAUGACAACCCUUUCACUGUGGCCACUGGUUCUGUAGACUUUGUAGCUGAGUUAUGGGUAAAGUACCCAAUUGUCAUACUUGAGUAAAAGUAAAGAUACCUUAAUAUAAAAGGACUCAAGUAAAAGUGAGUCACCCAGUAAAAUCCUACUUGAGUAAAAGUCUAAAAGUAUUUGGUUUUAAAUAUACUUAAGUAUCAAAAGUCAAUUUAAUCUCUAAAAUGUACUUAAGUAUCAAAAGUAAAAGUAUAAAUAAUUUCAAAUUCCUUUUAUAAAGCAAACCAGACGGCACUCAUACUUUUAUUAUAUAUAUUUUUAACAGAUAGCCAGGAGCACCCUCUUACACUCAGACGUCAUUUACAAACAGAGCAUUUUUGUUUAGUCAGUCUGCCAGAUCAGAGGCAGCACAUAUGACCAGGGACGUUCUCUUGAUAAGUGCGUGACUUGGACCAUUUUCCUGUACUGCUAAGCAUUCAAAAUGUAAUGAGUACUUUUGAGCUACUGUAUUCUCUGUGCAUGCUUGGGUUGGGUGUUUAAGGGUAUAUUAGUAAGAUUUAUACAUACUUUGCAUAUGUAAUAUAUUUUUUUAUUAAUUUAGUACUUCUUUUUUUUACCCUUGUUCCUGUGAUAUCCAAUUGGUAGUUACCGUCUUGUCCCAUCGCUGCAACUCCUGUACGGACUCGAGUGUCAGGGAAAAUGUAUGUAGUAAAAACUACAUGAUUUUCUUUAGGAAUGUAGUGAAGUAAAAGUAUACAUUGUCAAAAAUAUACAUAAAUAGUAAAGUAAAGUACAGCUAUAAAAGAAAAAACUAUGUAGGUAGUACUUUAAAGUAUUUUACAUCACUGGGUAUGCAGGUAUGCAGUCUUCCAAUCAAUUAGUUUGCACUAUAUGGUCAGUUUUGAACAUUGUGGAAAAGUUGUGUUAUCAUCAGUAAUAAAUAUCUUUAAACUAUUCUGGUUGCAUGGAAUGCUGUUAUGCUUGAAAGUACAACAAUGGAACACACAUAUGUUGGCCCCAAUACACACACAGACUUGGACAGCACAGAAUGGACUUUAUCUCACAGUUUUAUCAGUCCUUCAUGGUGGUAAUCACCUCAGUCUCAUGUCAGGUCUUCAUAUGUCACUGAUGGUCCCUCUAACUAGGAUAUAGCCACUCACAUUAUUGUAUUAUCACACGUGAAGAACUGAAUACGUAUUCCUCCGCAGAUGCCGCGGGGAUAUAAAUAGUCUCAGAUAACAGCACGUCACCAUGCCGAUAAUGUGCAGAGGUUCAGUCAUGUGUCCCCUCUGAG
Molecule: long non-coding RNA, 4135 nt
Organism: Salmo trutta (river trout)
Lineage: Eukaryota; Metazoa; Chordata; Actinopteri; Salmoniformes; Salmonidae
Source: Ensembl